CCUACGGGAGGCAGCAGUGAGGAAUAUUGGUCAAUGGACGAGAGUCUGAACCAGCCAAGUAGCGUGAAGGAUGACUGCCCUAUGGGUUGUAAACUUCUUUUAUCAAGGAAUAAAACGAGGCACGUGUGCCUUUUUGCAUGUACUUUAUGAAUAAGGCUCGGCUAACUCCGUGCCAGCAGCCGCGGUAAUACGGAGGAUCCGAGCGUUAUCCGGAUUUAUUGGGUUUAAAGGGAGCGUAGAUGGGUUGUUAAGUCAGUUGUGAAAGUUUGCGGCUCAACCGUAAAAUUGCAAUUGAUACUGGCAGUCGUGAGUACAGUUGAGGUAGGCGGAAUUCGUGGUGUAGCGGUGAAAUGCUUAGAUAUCACGAAGAACCCCGAUUGCGAAGGCAGCUUACUAAACUGUGACUGACAUUGAUGCUCGAAAGUGUGGGUAUCAAACAGGAUUAGAUACCCUUGUAGUC
RNAcentral lists this ribosomal RNA (460 nucleotides) under uncultured bacterium. Its description in RNAcentral is "partial 16S ribosomal RNA". It matches the Rfam family "Bacterial small subunit ribosomal RNA", at positions 338 to 795 of the family's 1533-position model. The record is from RNAcentral.